Molecule: small nuclear RNA, 105 nt
Organism: Saimiri boliviensis boliviensis (Bolivian squirrel monkey)
Lineage: Eukaryota; Metazoa; Chordata; Mammalia; Primates; Cebidae
Source: Ensembl
GUUCAGUUUGGCAGCACAUAUACUAAAAUGAGAAUGAUACAGAAAAGGUUAGCAUGGCCCCUGUGCAAGGAUAACAUAAAUAUUUACAAAACAUUUCAUAUUUAA